This 750-nucleotide unclassified non-coding RNA is filed under the name uncultured Synechococcus sp. RNAcentral's name for it is "partial contains 16S ribosomal RNA and 16S-23S ribosomal RNA intergenic spacer". The stretch from base 1 to 263 matches the Rfam family "Bacterial small subunit ribosomal RNA", at positions 1272 to 1533 of the family's 1533-position model. The record is from RNAcentral. Lineage: Bacteria; Bacillati; Cyanobacteriota; Cyanophyceae; Synechococcales; Synechococcaceae.
UCCCAUAAACCGUGGCUCAGUUCAGAUCGUAGGCUGCAACUCGCCUACGUGAAGGCGGAAUCGCUAGUAAUCGCAGGUCAGCAUACUGCGGUGAAUACGUUCCCGGGCCUUGUACACACCGCCCGUCACACCAUGGAAGUUGGCCACGCCCGAAGCCGUUACUCCAACCCUUGUGGAGGAGGACGUCGAAGGUGGGGCUGAUGACUGGGGUGAAGUCGUAACAAGGUAUCCGUACCGGAAGGUGCGGAUGGAUCACCUCCUAACAGGGAGACAACACAAUGAUUUUGAUGCCUGAGUGCUUUUAUUCUUAGGCCGAAAUCCUGUCACCUUAGGUCGAUCGGUACCUCAGCUUUGAAGUCAAGGAUCAGCAGCAAUGUUGAUUGCUUGAUGGAGAUUUUCAGUUCCUAAACUUUGUCUAGGUCACACCCCAAAAGGGAUGAGACUCCUGGGCCAUUAGCUCAGGUGGUUAGAGCGCACCCCUGAUAAGGGUGAGGUCCCUGGUUCAAGUCCAGGAUGGCCCAUUCGGUGUUGGGGGUUUAGCUCAGUUGGUAGAGCGCCUGCUUUGCAAGCAGGAUGUCAGGAGUUCGAGUCUCCUAACCUCCACUGACCGAACUUAAUUCCCAUCUCCAAUUUUUUUGGAGUUGAGCUCGAUUGGAGUGUGAUUUAGAUGUGUCCGCUGGAUGACCCCAGCUUCCUGUCAUUCCAAGUUUUAGGUUUAAGCCUUGAAUUUGGUUGAUAAGAUGCUGGGCU